UGGGAGGGCAGUCUGGUGCCAGCAGCCGCGGUAAUUCCAGCUCCAAUAGCGUAUAUUAAACUUGUUGCAGUUAAAAAGCUCGUAGUUGAAUUUUAGCGUGUUCGAGUUUGCCAUUCGUUUGGCUUUUUCGAGUUCGCUUUUGGGUUUUCCCUUUUUACUUUGAGAAAAUUAGAGUGUUUCAAGCAGACUUUUGUCUUGAAUACUUCAGCAUGGAAUAAUAGAGUAGGACUUUGGUUCUAUUUUGUUGGUUAUUGAACCUUAGUAAUGGUUAAUAGGAACGGUUGGGGGCA
This 290-nucleotide ribosomal RNA is filed under the name Babesia vogeli. Its description in RNAcentral is "partial 18S ribosomal RNA". It matches the Rfam family "Eukaryotic small subunit ribosomal RNA", at positions 548 to 890 of the family's 1831-position model. Lineage: Eukaryota; Apicomplexa; Aconoidasida; Piroplasmida; Babesiidae. The record is from RNAcentral.